Molecule: long non-coding RNA, 1406 nt
Filed under: Physcomitrium patens
Lineage: Eukaryota; Viridiplantae; Streptophyta; Bryopsida; Funariales; Funariaceae
Description: long non-coding RNA (PPAT_LNC004221)
Source: RNAcentral
AACAAAAACUUAACUCUAAUAUAAUACUAACUAAAUUCUAAUUAGGUCAUAAUAAUGCUAAAGAAGCUUUAAUCAAAUUCAAAGAAAUCCUAGCAAAAUUUCAAAGAAACAAUAAGAAAUCUUAAAGCAAUAUUAAAAUGAUGACAAAUAUAUCUCAAAUACAUCUCAAUUCAAUCCUAAUACAAUCUUAGUUAAAAUCCAAUUUAACUUUAUUCAAAUUUUACCCCAAAACUAAUUAAAUCUUAAAUCCUAAAUAAACCCUAAUAAAAUCUUAAAUCCUAAAUUAAAUCCUAAAUCCUAAAUCAAAUUCUAAAUUCAAAAUCAAAUCCUAACUAAAUCUUAAAUCUUAAAUCUUAAAUCAAAUCUUAAAUCUUAAACCAAAUCUUAAACUUUAAACCAAAUCCUAAUCAAACCCUAAAUCAAACCCCAACCAAACUCUAAAUAAAAUCCUAACCAAACUCCAAACCUUGAAUCAACUCCUAAACCCUAAACCAAAUCCUAAUCCAAUCUUAAAUCAAAUCCUAACCAAAUCCUAAAUUAAAUCCUAAAUCCUAAAUCAACCCCUAAUCAAAUCUUAAUCCUAAAUCAAAUCCUAACCAAAUUCUAAGUCCUAAACCAAAUCCUAACCAAAUUCUAACCCCUAAACCAAAUCCUAACUAAACCCUAAUAAUUUCUACAACAAAUUUAAACCUCAAUAACUAAUGAAUGAACCAUUGAUCUUAAUUCAAAUUUUGUAUAUUUCUUAAAAACUAAAUUAGAAACAUGUACAAAAAAUUUGAAAAUAGAUCGAAAUUACCAAAUAGACGAUAACCUCAAAAACGUGCUCACUUAUUGGCCGGCCUCCUUUUCCAACCUUAAUGCUAAUCUCUGAGAGCCAAUAUCUCUUUUUUUCACCGUUCAAUUGAUUUCAAAAUUCUCAUACACAUAGAAAAACAAGUCAUAUAUCUUCUCACACAAUUCUCACUCCAAUCCAACUAGUAAAUUGCAAGAAAUCUUAAAAAUCUUUACUGGACCUAAAAUUCUACUUUUUGAGAAUUUGACGCAUUUUAACCUCAAUAAUCCUCAAUUUAACCAUUAGAUCAAGCUCAAAUUCAGAACACAUAUUAAUCACAACUUUAAACAUUAACCUACAAAACUUCACUUGUACAUCUAUUACAAAACUCUUGAAAUCACCCAAAAUGUAAACCCUAUUUUAUUUCACAAAAUCCAAGUCAUCCAAAACAAACCUUGACUUUGCAAAGCUCUUACAAAGUCAAUACAGAUCCAAAUCACCCAAAACAAAUGAUCAUAAAAACCUUAUCUAAUCUUCUAUCAAAUCCCAUUCUUCGAUCUACCAAAGAAUCCCCAAGUUGUAAUAGGUACUCGGUUUUAUGCCUUAGGAUCUGAAUUUGAUCCAGAUUGUUAAG